Molecule: ribosomal RNA, 482 nt
Filed under: uncultured bacterium
Lineage: Bacteria
Description: bacterial SSU rRNA
Rfam family: Bacterial small subunit ribosomal RNA
Source: RNAcentral
AAAUGAAUAGACGGGGGCCCGCACAAGCGGCGGAGCGUGCGGUUUAAUUCGACGCAACGCGCAGAACCUUACCAGGGCUUGACAUGCGACUGCAGGUCUCGGAAACGAGACGUCCUUCGAGGGAGUCGCACAGGUGCUGCAUGGCUGUCGUCAGCUCGUGUCGUGAGAUGUUGGGUUAAGUCCCGCAACGAGCGCAACCCUCGCCGCCAGUUAUGUGGAUGUCUGGCGGGACUGCCGGUAGCAAGCCGGAGGAAGGCGGGGAUGAUGUCAAGUCAGCAUGGCCCUUACGUCCUGGGCUACACGCACGCUACAAUGGGCCGGACAAUGGGUAGCCAAACCGCAAGGUGGAGCGAAUCCUCGCAAACCGGUCCUCAGUUCAGAUUGUGGGCUGCAACUCGCCCGCAUGAAGGUGGAGUCGCUAGUAACCGCAGGUCAGCAGUACUGCGGUGAAUACGUUCCCGGGCCUUGUACACACCGCCCGU